CCAGGUCCCCAGGUGGAGACUGUGCCCCGAGGUCGUUUUAGAGAGUACCUUUAUGCAAAUGGUUGCUGAGUCAGCCGUGGCAGUCGAUGAUGAAAUGUCGGAGGAUGACGUCAAGAGCAAAAUAUCGUGCAUUUUUAAAGAGAAACUUGCUAGGUUAGCUACUCAUGAAAAUAAUUUUGAGUUUGUUCGAGCGAUUGGCAAUCAAAUAGUUAAAGUAAAUAAUGGGCCUUUCACGGGAAAACUUUAGCAGCAUAUUUCCAAACAGGGACCAGUUUAUGUUAGAACACUGGUGGCAGUACCAGGUGCUGGUUUAAAAGGAUGGAUAGCUGACAAAAGUGUAGACUCAAGUGGUGAUGAUUUCUUAAUGUCACCAACAUUUGAAAUGAAAAAUGACAUAAAGUCAGAUGUUAAGCAAUCUAUGCCUCCACCUAUUGAAGUCAUAGACUGUGACAAAGAAGAUAAUGAUGGGAGACAAGAGCAAAUUGAUUCAAAAUGCUCAACUGCACCAACAUCUUUGGCUCAAUCACAUUUCAUAGCAUCUGGGGGUAAUUUUCAGCAUUAUUAUUGCACGAGUAGACCAUAUGGCAAAUAUGUGGAAAUAGUGAAUGACAAAGAAGAGGAAGACACACUUCAAGUUUCUUUGGAGGCAAGUCAAAACAUGUAAGUUGAUUGUAAGUCGAUCAAUUAUUUAAGAUGCUAAUAUUUUGAACUUUGCUUUAACCAUUAUUUUCUCAUCAUAUAGUGAUAAUUAAUGCAUUUUAGAGAAAGCACGCCAUUAAAUAUAGAUGUUAAGAAGCUGUUACAGCAGCACAGCAUCAUUUUUAUGAAAAGCGAUUCAUCAAAUAAAAUUAUUGUAAGGCGAAGCAAACUUUUGGCAACUGCAUUUGUUGCCAUGAAAUCAAAAAGGUUUGAUUGCUGUGAAGAUUUGAUAAUUCAGUUCAGUUGAGAAGAUGCAAUAGAUGCUGGAGGGCCACAGAGAGAAAUUUUCAGGUCAAAUAAUGCAUUCUAUUUCAUUCAAUAGUUAUUGAGUAAGGUGUUGUACAACAAGUUGAUGGGUGACAUUGUGUUGCAGUGACUAUAUUAGAAUGAAUAAUUUUUUAUGCCUUUACAAUAAGAGUGUACCUUUUUCAGACUAGCCAGGUAGGAAAUUGUUCAAUCUUCAGGUCUCUUUGAAGGAUACAAUGGAUGUAAUCUGAUUUUUACUCACAAUGUGAAACUUCUUGAAGGAAAGCAGUAUUGGUUAGCAGGUCGCUUGGUUGGCAUUUCAUUGAUGCAAGGUGGCCCCGGCUUUGGAUGUCUUAAUUCUACUGUGUAUGAUUUAAUGUGUGAAGCACCAUGUGAUGUAAAUGACUUUGAUGUUUCACUCAUACCAGAUUAUGAAAAAGCAGCUAUGCUCUCAAAGCUGAAGCAAUUGGAAACACAAGAAGAGUUCAUUUCAUUUGUCAAAGAAAAUGCUGACAGUAUAGCUAGCCAAGGAUAUCCAUCAAUAUACUUGGCUAGCUUUGAGCAAACAGAUAUCAUUAUGAAGUCGCUGGUUAAGCAGCACAUAUUUUACAGAGUGUUUUCAGAAAUUGAGCAAUUUAAAAUGGGAAUAAAUGAUGUCGGAGGACUUUGGGACACAAUCAAGACACAUUCUAAUGAAUUCAAACAUUUGCUCACAGAGAUUCCAAAGAAAUUUUCUAGAGAAUCAUUCAAAGCCAUGUACGAAAUUGAGUGAAGUCCAAAAGGUCAUAAUAACAGAAGAAAAGACGAUGAAACAAUAUAUUGUUGGAAAAUCUUUUUGAAAAAAAUUGAAGACAAUGAGAUGUUCUACCAGACUGAAGAAAAAUCAAUAAUUGUUCAUUUUGAGCAUUUGUCACAGUUUACGACUGGUUCAGAGUUCAUCCCACCAACUGGAUUUGAAAAUUCCUUAACAAUAACAUUUUACGAUCAAGAAGAUGGGCAAACUAGGUCUUCUUCCACUUGUGCCAUGUCACUUGCACUACCAAGAGGACAUGAAGACCCAACUAUGUUUCAGAAACUUCUUCUAAGAUCUUUAUUUGACUCAUGCGGUUUUUAUAAAAUUUGACAUUGCUUUGAUACUCAAACAUUUCGACUUGUUUUGGCACUGUUCUUGUUAAAAGUUAAGGAACUAAGAUUUGUUAUGUUUGCUAAAUUGGUUACCAAACAGGAUUAGUUAAAUAUUUGCAUACUUUUUACUAUCAUAAGUUAUGUUUUGUGUUGAUAUGGCUGAAGUGAUUGACCUUAUUAUGUUAUAAUUCAAUCGUUGCAAAGAAAAAACUAUUUACUGCCA
RNA transcript from Xenia sp. Carnegie-2017, 2293 nucleotides. RefSeq lists it as uncharacterized. The record is from RefSeq and is a predicted model, not a curated record. The transcript has 5 exons. NCBI's taxonomy places the organism in Eukaryota, Metazoa, Cnidaria, Anthozoa, Malacalcyonacea, Xeniidae.